This 301-nucleotide ribosomal RNA is filed under the name uncultured bacterium. RNAcentral describes it as "partial 16S ribosomal RNA". It matches the Rfam family "Bacterial small subunit ribosomal RNA", at positions 509 to 807 of the family's 1533-position model. The record is from RNAcentral.
CAGUCGCCACGGUAAAACGGGGGAUGCAAGUGUUAUCCGGAAUAAUUGGGCGUAAAGCGUCUGUAGGUGGUUUACCAAGUCUGUUGUUAAAAAUCAGGGCUCAACCCUGAUCCGGCAACAGAAACUAAUAGACUUGAGUACGGUAGGGGCAGAGGGAAUUCUCGGUGUAGUGGUGAAAUACGUAGAUAUCGAGAAGAACACCAAUAGCGAAAGCACUCUGCUGGGCCGAAACUGACAUUGAGAGACGAAAGCUAGGGGAGCAAAAGGGAUUAGAUACCCCAGUAGUCCCUGUCUCUUAUAC